RNAcentral lists this unclassified non-coding RNA (2069 nucleotides) under Hevea brasiliensis (rubber tree). The record is from RNAcentral. Lineage: Eukaryota; Viridiplantae; Streptophyta; Magnoliopsida; Malpighiales; Euphorbiaceae.
AAAAAAAAAAAAAAAAACCCAAUUUCUAUCAAAUCGUUUCAUUUUUUUCAAUAAUGGCUCUAUUCUCUCGUCUCCGAAUUCACCCUCUAAUCAGAAACAGGCGCUACUUCUCGACAAUCCUCUCUCCAGGUUCCACCACCCCUCUCUCGUCCAAGGAGAAAACCAGAGCCGCGCUUUCUCUUCUAAAAUCGGAAGAAAACCCAGAAAAGAUCGUUGAAAUCUGCCGUGCAGCUUCUCUGACCCCUGAAUCUCACUUGGACCGGAUAGCCUUCUCCGUCGCCAUCUCCAAGCUUUCCAAAUCCAAUCAUUUCUCCUACAUCCAGCAGUUUCUCGACGAUCUCCGCUCUUCCCGCGCUGACCUUAGGUCCUCCGAACGAUUCGCCGGCCACGCCAUCGUGCUUUUUGGCCAGGCCAACAUGAUGGACCACGCUAUCCGCACCUUCCAGGAAUAUCACGCCGAUGUUGUUGGUUCUGGUACUGGGUCUGUUAAGGCUCUGAAUGCUCUGCUUUUCGCUUGUAUUUUGGCUAAGGAUUAUAGGGAGGUGAAGCGGAUUUUUCUCGAGUUCCCUAAGAUUUAUAGUAUUGAGCCGAAUUUGGAUACUUAUAAUACGGUUAUCAAGGCAUUUUGUGAGUCUGGGAGUUCCAGUUCGGGUUAUUCGGUUAUAGCAGAGAUGGAUAGGAAGGUGGUGAAGCCAAAUGCGACCACUUUUGGGAAUUUGCUUGCUGGGUUUUAUAAAGAGGAAAAGUUUGAAGAUGCAGCUAAAGUAUUGGAAAUGAUGAAGAAACAUGGGAUUCGACAAGGGGUAAGUACUUAUAAUAUUAGGAUCCAGAGUUUGUGUAAGCUAAAGAGAUCUGUAGAGGCAAAAGCUUUACUUUAUGGGAUGUUGUCUAGGAAAAUGAAGCCAAAUUCUGUUACUUAUUGUAAUUUGAUUCAUGGUUUUUGUAACGAAGAGAAUUUAGAGGAAGCAAAGAGGCUGUUUAACAGUAUGAUUAAUGGAGGGGGAAAACCAGAUGCUGAUUGUUAUUUCACGCUUAUGCACUACUUGUGUCGAGGUGGGGAUUUGGAUACUGCUUUGAGGAUUUGUAAGGAAAGCAUUGAGAAGGGAUGGGUUCCAAAUUUUGGGACUAUGAAGUCACUGGUGAACGGGCUUUCUCGUGUUGGGAAGGUGGCAGAGGCAAAGGAGCUUGUUGGGCAAAUGAAGGAGAGAUUUACGAAGAAUGUUAAUAUGUGGGAUGAGAUUGAAGCCAGUUUGUCGCAGUAGGGGUGGGGACAUUUAAACUUCGUUUUGUUUUGAUAAGACCAUCAAGGUAAGACUCUGUGAGAAUGUCAUAUUUGCACAAUUAAGAGGAAAUAAGAAUUUUGCAUUAACUUAAUGAGUUAUUGGACGUGUUCAUCAUUGAAUGAAAAUGUUGCUGGUUUUCAUUUUCAUGGUGUUGAUUAUAUUAGAGGUUCAAAGCUCAUUAAAUCAUAUGGCUUUGCAGUCAAAUUAUAGAAAAGAAUCAAUAUUUAAACUUGUUUUGCAGUACUCUUUUGUUAUGAGACUAGUGGUAAUAAAUUGCUAGGUCAUCGGUAACUAGGCGCAUGCCCAAUUAGCUAUGGUUGAUAGUUCGUGAAUUUCUGGGCUCCUGAUUAAGAAAUAAGCUUUGACUGCCUGUGGAUUACUGGUUAGUACUACAAGCCAUUGCAUUUUGGUUCUGGGGGAGCAGUGGAAUGGAAGUUGAUUAUCUUGAUUGGCUCGGAAUUAUGAUUAUUUUGCUCAAACGAGCACAUCCUUUGUUUAGAAAUUUUAUCAAGAUUAAAAUUCAACUACAUCUAGCAACUAGAAAGUUAGCAAUAAUGGUGAUUUAACUCAGUGACUAUAGGAAAAUGAAGUCAUUGUAGAGGCUGCAACUAUUAACGUGUUGGUCUUGAAUUCGUAGAAAGGCAAAUAUCUUGUUGGGGAAUGAGCUGUAGUUAUGUAUUAAACAGGCAUAUCUAAUAUCUAUGUAUCUGUAUCUAUAUAAUAUAAUAUAAUAAAACUAGUCUCUAAAAUAAAUUUACUGCACUGUAUUAGAUUUUUUUUUAUUUG